CGGUGGAUGAUGUGGUUUAAUUCGAUGCAACGCGAAAACCUUACCCACCUUUGACAUGUACGGAAUCCUUUAGAGAUAGAGGAGUGCUCGAAAGAGAGCCGUAACACAGGUGCUGCAUGGCUGUCGUCAGCUCGUGUCGUGAGAUGUUGGGUUAAGUCCCGCAACGAGCGCAACCCUUGUCAUUAGUUGCUACGAAAGGGCACUCUAAUGAGACUGCCGGUGACAAACCGGAGGAAGGUGGGGAUGACGUCAAGUCCUCAUGGCCCUUAUAGGUGGGGCUACACACGUCAUACAAUGGCUGGUACAAAGGGUUGCCAACCCGCGAGGGGGAGCCAAUCCCAUAAAGCCAGUCGUAGUCCGGAUCGCAGUCUGCAACUCGACUGCGUGAAGUCGGAAUCGCUAGUAAUCGUGGAUCAGCAUGUCACGGUGAAUACGUUCCCGGGUCUU
RNAcentral lists this ribosomal RNA (447 nucleotides) under uncultured Comamonas sp. RNAcentral describes it as "bacterial SSU rRNA". It matches the Rfam family "Bacterial small subunit ribosomal RNA", at positions 930 to 1382 of the family's 1533-position model. Lineage: Bacteria; Pseudomonadati; Pseudomonadota; Betaproteobacteria; Burkholderiales; Comamonadaceae. The record is from RNAcentral.